Molecule: ribosomal RNA, 509 nt
Filed under: uncultured bacterium
Lineage: Bacteria
Description: bacterial SSU rRNA
Rfam family: Bacterial small subunit ribosomal RNA
Source: RNAcentral
UCAGGACGAACGCUGGCGGCGUGCCUAACACAUGCAAGUCGAGCGGGGACAUGCGACGGAGUCGAAGUUUCGGAUGGAGACAAAGAUGUAUGUUCUAGCGGCGGACGGGUGAGUAACGCGUGAGCAACCUGUCCCUUACAGGGGGAUAACACAGCGAAAGUUGUACUAAUACCGCAUAAGACCACGGCAGGACAUCCUGCAGGGGGUCAAAGGAGCAAUCCGGUAAGGGGUGGGCUCGCGUCCGAUUAGAUAGUUGGUGAGGUAACGGCCCACCAAGUCAACGAUCGGUAGCCGACCUGAGAGGGUGAUCGGCCACAUUGGGACUGAGACACGGCCCAAACUCCUACGGGAGGCAGCAGUGGGGAAUAUUGGGCAAUGGGGGGAACCCUGAACCCCAGCAACGCCGCGUGAGGGAAGAAGGUUUUCGGAUCGUAAACCUCUGUCCUUGGUGAAGAGUGAGAGACGGUAGCCAAGGAGGAAGCCCCGGCUAACUACGUGCCAGCAGCUGC